This 497-nucleotide ribosomal RNA is filed under the name uncultured Bacillota bacterium. Its description in RNAcentral is "bacterial SSU rRNA". It matches the Rfam family "Bacterial small subunit ribosomal RNA", at positions 355 to 867 of the family's 1533-position model. Lineage: Bacteria; Bacillati; Bacillota. The record is from RNAcentral.
UGGGGAAUAUUGCACAAUGGGGGAAACCCUGAUGCAGCAACGCCGCGUGAAGGCUGAAGGUCUUCGGAUUGUAAACUUCUUUGAUUGGGGACGAAUAAUGACGGUACCCAAAAAACAAGCCACGGCUAACUACGUGCCAGCAGCCGCGGUAAUACGUAGGUGGCGAGCGUUGUCCGGAAUUACUGGGUGUAAAGGGCGUGUAGGCGGGGAUGCAAGUCAGAUGUGAAAUUCCAAGGCUUAACCUUGGCGCUGCAUCUGAAACUGUAUCUCUUGAGUGCUGGAGAGGAAAGCGGAAUUCCUAGUGUAGCGGUGAAAUGCGUAGAUAUUAGGAGGAACACCAGUGGCGAAGGCGGCUUUCUGGACAGUAACUGACGCUGAGGCGCGAAAGCGUGGGGAGCAAACAGGAUUAGAUACCCUGGUAGUCCACGCUGUAAACGAUGGAUACUAGGUGUAGGAGGUAUCGACCCCUUCUGUGCCGGAGUUAACACAAUAAGUAU